UACGUAGGGUGCGAGCGUUAAUCGGAAUUACUGGGCGUAAAGCGUGCGCAGGCGGUUUUGUAAGACAGGCGUGAAAUCCCCGGGCUCAACCCGGGAACUGCGUCCGAUACUGGCAGGCUUGAAUCCGGGAGAGGGAUGUGGAAUUCCAGGUGUAGCGGUGAAAUGCGUAGAUAUCUGGAGGAACACCGGUGGCGAAGGCGGCAUCCUGGACCGGUAUUGACGCGGAGGCGCGAAAGCCAGGGGAGCAAACGGG
This 253-nucleotide ribosomal RNA is filed under the name uncultured prokaryote. RNAcentral describes it as "partial 16S ribosomal RNA". It matches the Rfam family "Bacterial small subunit ribosomal RNA", at positions 524 to 776 of the family's 1533-position model. The record is from RNAcentral.